GCUAACUGUAUGCUAGCUAGAAGCUAAUGCUACCUUCCUUGGCUAUCGGAAUUACUGAGGCAGAGUUGAACCUGAGGGCACAUUUUUGAUCUUCUAGUUCACUUUCGCCUUUGGUUUAAAUGUCAUCGCAUAGCCACCGUGCUCAAACGCCAUGAGAGAGAGAGAGAGAGAGCUAAAUACGUCGGUGUAAAUCCCACCAGAAGUUAUAUGACGCAAUAGGACGGACCGCAUCACUAGUGACCGUCGUUUGAUAUUUACGGGGAGUACCUGAAGGCAGCAGAUCUGUCCCGUCCCGCAAACUUAGCUAGCAUUAGCCGGUAGGAGAACACCGCAGCAUCAGCAUCACCCACACGCACAAUGAGAUGAAACAUUUACCCGCUUAUUAGAUUGUACAAGACGACGGUGAGGAUUAUCUCACAGACCAGAACAAGAUGAGUCGCUUCUGUUCGGAUAACAACAACUUUCCCUACGACAACAACGUCCUGGUUUUGGACAUGGUGCUGGGCUCCCUGUGGGGUGUGCCCCAGCCCAUAAACUGGGACAAUGUGGCCAAGCUAGUACCAGGCUUUACUCCUAAGGAGUGUGCCCGUCGGUUUGAGGAGCUGAAGAGCAUGGGGGGGUUUCCUCAUGUGGAUAACCAAUGCAAUGCCCUGAUAGAAGGAAGCAGCUCCCCGUCAGACCUCCUCUCCACACUGUUGGACACUCGGGACAUAGUGGAGAGAGGAAGCGGCCAGAGCAGCAGCAGCAACGUUACAGGGUCCAAGUUGAAGUCCACAGGAAGAAGUGCUGCUGUGGAGAAGAAAGAGAAAGGAGUGUCAGCAGAGGAGGAUGAAAAACCUCAGAAACCACGAGAUCCCAACAUGGUCAUCCAUGUGUGCGAUGAGACCAAGAAUCUGAAGCAGGACUUCACUUGUCCCAGAGAUCUUCUGGUCAAGGAGAUGCGUUACUUUGCUGAAUAUUUAUCUGUGGACCCCCAGAGGUGGGAGGAAGUUGACAUCUCAGUCCACUGUGACGUGCAGAUCUUUGACUGGCUUAUGAACUACGUCAGGAGGAACUCGGCAGGAGAGGGAAACAAGGACAAACCCCGACUUGAGCCCAGCAAUGUGAUCUCAAUCCUGAUCUCCUCCGAGUUCUUGAAGAUGGACACGUUAGUGGAGGAGUGCAUCCAGUACUGCCACAAGCACAUGAGUGCCAUUGUGGCUACUCCCUGCAACAUGAACUGCAUAAACAGCAACCUGGCCACACGGAUCGCUGAACUCUUUAGCCACAACGAGGCCGACGACAUCAGGGACAAAAAAGACAAGUUCAAAAGCAAACUGUUUCAAAAGAAAAUUGAGCGUCUCUUUGACCCAAACUACCAGAACAGAGAUUCACCGGGAAAUGCCUCAACUCUGUACAGGUGUGGUCUGUGCCUUAAGCUGUUGACCAAAGACACAGAGAGGAAAAUUUCUUGUGUUCCAGGCAAAAUCAAUAUUGACGCUCGUGGAGAGAUCAUCUAUACACACACCAGACAAAAGAGUUGGGAUGUGCACGAAUACAUCACAGGCCUGUAUGAGGAGCUCAAGUCCUGGGUCUUGGUUUACUGGAGAAUCUGGGGUACCAUCAACUACCUCACCUGCUUCCGAUGCCAACAGGUGUUUGUAUGUGCAGAGCUGACGCAGUGCAAGUACCACCCAGACAGCGUCCUGUACCAUGGCAUGGGUACAGAGAGAGGCUGGCACGGUGCAGGAAUAUAUCCGUGCUGCAACCAGCGGGUUCUCCGCUUUGACCCCACUGGGAUACCAAAGGGCUGUAAGACGCGGGAUCACAUAGUGAAUGUGCCCGAUGAGGAGAACUGUGACGAGGAGACUUCAGCCCAGACCCGAGUCCUCAAUGACCUGCUGCUGCACAGAGACGCUGUGUGUGUGUCAAACUCUCCACCGGCAGAGGGUGCUGAGGAGAGCCAGUCCAGUGCAGAAAAAGUUCAGGACUGUGACGUUCUCUUGGAGCCAACAGUCCUCAGAUCUCUGAGAGGAGAUGGCAACACCUUUUCCCUUUUGAAAAACUGGAGUCUUCAGCUGAGACAGCAGUCUCUUUUGUCAGAGGAUGAGGAGUACACCACAGGGUCAGAGGUCACUGAAGACGAGGUUGGGGAUGAAGAGGAACUCUCUAAGAAGCAAGCUGCUAAGAAGGCCAAAAAGGCUCACAGACCUUUGAAAAAACAGCUGUCCUCGCCAAACUUCCAACGCAAAGAAAAAUCUGAGAAAAAUGUGCUUUUUUCCCUCCCUCAGUCACAGACCAGGGACAACACGCCUUUCACAGUAAGCGUCCAGAAGAGUAAGUGGGACAGCUCUCGCUCUAUGCGCUACAACCAGGACGCUCAGCGAGAGGAAGACCAGCGCCGCAUGGUGGAGAUCAUUGGCUACCUGACAAAGAUGAGGUUUGGAGACCAGGAACAGAGUAAAUCCAAGGAUACUAAAGAGCUGCCUCAUGUUGGAUUGUUUUUCUUCCGGACUGUGUGUGUGUGUGUUACAGCCUGCAGGGGGGAUCUACUCCAGACUUGAAGUGCAAUUUAGGAGCUCCUCUCAAGUCAGACAGAGUUCAGAAAAGACACCCAGGUCUAAAACACGCUACGCUCAAAUCCGAACAACAUAAACAAGCUAAUGGGGGGGAAAAAAAGGCAGUGGAGCUGCUAAAUAGACCAGCAUUAAACCCGAUGAAGAGGACAGACUCGCUCCUCAACCCCAGCACUUGUCAGCCCCCCCGCCCCUGCUUAACUCAGGUGACUAUGUAUGGAUCACCGUCAACCACAUCUCCUCUCAUUCGGCCCACUGUGUGUUUGUUCAGCUGCAUCCAGUCCACAAAAACAACAAGCAGAACUGUGGACCCAGCUCGGCUCAUUAGAAAUGCACUUUGACUUUCCUCAGUGUUUCUUCAAAGACGGACAGGUGGGGAUUUCUACAGAAGGCAACUGGAGAAAUGUAUGGAAGUCCACUCAUGCCAGUGGGAAAAGAAAAAGUCAUUUGUAUUUCAGAAAAUAUAUUUCAUAGCAAUGACAAACAUGUAUCUUAUUGUAAAAUACAUAGUUUCUGUCUGUCCACCAACUCCUACACAAUCAGGAGUUAAUCAACCAAACUUGGCACACAGGUACAUCUUAGGCCCCUAUACGUUCUUACCUAUAUCAGAUACUGGUGUAAUCACAUUACGCAACUACCUACUGACCAACUAAAAGGACACACUUUGUGUCUAUGCACCUAUCUCACCUUAUACAAGCAUUGUAUCAUUUCAGUUUCACAACAGUAGCAUCUCAUUUACAUCAGAUGCUAUAGUUGUGAAUAUUUUGAUAUGCAAUAUCAUCGUGUUGCUUGGCAACCACCUGGUAACAGAAUAAAAUGACAUUUAUGUAGUAGAGCAGGACAUGGGAUGUAGUAGUAAAGGUAAAUUUAAAAAAUAAAGAAAUUACAAAAAUGCCACAACAGAAAAAAGUUUUGAUGUAAAAAAAAAAAAAAGAAAAGGAAAAAAAAGCAUAAAUCAAAUUGACUUGAACUGAGGAAAAAAAACUACAUCAGGAUACUGGAAAACAUGUGUGUCUAAAGCUCCAAUGACAUUUUUUUAAAUGCUAAAUUGAGAUCAAAUUUAAUUUUGAGGUUAAGAAGUAAAAUUGAGAUAAAUGUAUUAUAUGUUAUAUGAACAUCGGUCAAAAAGAUGUCAUGAGAAAAAUUUAUGAAAAAAAAAUUCAUUUUCUUAAACUGGCAGUGAUUAUCUUCCUGGAUACCUAGGUUUUCCUUCUUAAACUGACAUCUUUUAUUUCCACCGUAGUGGAAGGUCAGAGAUGUGUGGCAUGAAAAUUUUACUGCAUCAACUGAAAUUUACACCCAGCCUUACAUUUACACUGUAAUUCUGCCUGCGUUUUGUGUAAAGCUCAUUCUUUAGGUGAGAAGGAUGCCACAUUUGUUCCACCAAGUUCUGGUAGAGAUGUAGUUCUAGUCUUUCCUGUGUUUACUGGAACGUGACUGUGCCAUGUACCACACCUAGGCCAAUAAAAUACAAGUGACUAAAUCCAU
Pelmatolapia mariae (spotted tilapia) is the source of this 4043-nucleotide RNA transcript. It is a transcript of the gene named SANT and BTB domain regulator of CSR, with no coding region annotated. The transcript has 21 exons. The record is from RefSeq and is a predicted model, not a curated record. Lineage: Eukaryota; Metazoa; Chordata; Actinopteri; Cichliformes; Cichlidae.